UACGUAGGGCGCAAGCGUUGUCCGGAAUUAUUGGGCGUAAAGAGCUCGUAGGCGGUUUGUCGCGUCUGCUGUGAAAACCUAAGGCUCAACCUUGGGCUUGCAGUGGGUACGGGCAGACUAGAGUGCGGUAGGGGUGACUGGAAUUCCUGGUGUAGCGGUGGAAUGCGCAGAUAUCAGGAGGAAUACCGAUGGCGAAGGCAGGUCACUGGGCCGCAACUGACGCUGAGGAGCGAAAGCGUGGGGAGCAAACAGG
RNAcentral lists this ribosomal RNA (253 nucleotides) under uncultured bacterium. RNAcentral's name for it is "partial 16S ribosomal RNA". It matches the Rfam family "Bacterial small subunit ribosomal RNA", at positions 524 to 776 of the family's 1533-position model. The record is from RNAcentral.